ACAUUGGUGGUUCUGUGGUAGAAUUCUCGCCUUCCAUGCAGAAGACCAGGUUCGAUUCCUGGACAAUGUA
RNAcentral lists this transfer RNA (70 nucleotides) under Loxodonta africana (African savanna elephant). It matches the Rfam family "tRNA". From Rfam's summary of the family: Transfer RNA (tRNA) molecules are approximately 80 nucleotides in length. The record is from Rfam by way of RNAcentral. Lineage: Eukaryota; Metazoa; Chordata; Mammalia; Proboscidea; Elephantidae.